Molecule: ribosomal RNA, 484 nt
Filed under: uncultured bacterium
Lineage: Bacteria
Description: partial 16S ribosomal RNA
Rfam family: Bacterial small subunit ribosomal RNA
Source: RNAcentral
AUUGAACGCUGGCGGCAUGCUUUACACAUGCAAGUCGAACGGCAGCGCGGGCUUCGGCCUGGCUUCGAGUGGCGAACUGGUGAGUAAUGCAUCGGAACGUGCCCAGUAGUGUGGGAUAGCCCGGCGAAAGCCGGAUUAAUACCGCAUACGACCUGAGGGUGAAAGCGGGGGACCGAGAGGCCUCGCGCUAUUGGAGCGGCCGAUGUCGGAUUAGCUAGUUGGUGGGGUAAAGGCUUACCAAGGCGACGAUCCGUAGCUGGUCUGAUAGGACGACCAGCCACACUGGGACUGAGACACGGCCCAGACUCCUACGGGAGGCAGCAGUGGGGAAUUUUGGACAAUGGGGGCAACCCUGAUCCAGCCAUGCCGCGUGCGGGAAGAAGGCCUUCGGGUUGUAAACCGCUUUUGUUCGGGAAGAAAUCCUCUGGGCUAAUACCCCGGGGGGCUGACGGUACCGGAAGAAUAAGCACCGGCUAACUACGUG